GUAGGGAAUCUUGCGCAAUGGGCGAAAGCCUGACGCAGCCAUGCCGCGUGAAUGAUGAAGGUCUUAGGAUUGUAAAAUUCUUUCACCGGGGACGAUAAUGACGGUACCCGGAGAAGAAGCCCCGGCUAACUUCGUGCCAGCAGCCGCGGUAAUACGAAGGGGGCUAGCGUUGCUCGGAAUUACUGGGCGUAAAGGGCGCGUAGGCGGACAGUUUAGUCAGAGGUGAAAGCCCAGGGCUCAACCUUGGAAUUGCCUUUGAUACUGGCUGUCUUGAGUACGGGAGAGGUGAGUGGAACUCCGAGUGUAGAGGUGAAAUUCGUAGAUAUUCGGAAGAACACCAGUGGCGAAGGCGACUCACUGGCCCGUUACUGACGCUGAGGCGCGAAAGCGUGGGGAGCAAACAGGAUUAGAAACCCCUGUAGUCC
This 425-nucleotide ribosomal RNA is filed under the name uncultured bacterium. RNAcentral describes it as "partial 16S ribosomal RNA". It matches the Rfam family "Bacterial small subunit ribosomal RNA", at positions 354 to 796 of the family's 1533-position model. The record is from RNAcentral.